AUGAAACUCAAAUCGCGAAUCCGCAACCCAGCCAACAACAACACCGUACCUCACCGGGGCGGCCGAGCCUGGGCAGCUGCCCUAGCUGGCCGGACGCUGACUCCGCCAGUGAGCUAUGUGGAUGAAAUUAUGAGGGAUGCUAAAUAUAUUAGAGAGGUUGAUGGAAGAAAAGUAACUUCGGUAAGAACUGCACUUCUUAUAUGCUUUAGGAAUUUAGCAUACAAUGGUCAAUUAUCUCCCGAAAUGCUCUUUCCACUUUAG
Vicia faba (fava bean) is the source of this 261-nucleotide non-coding RNA. The record is from the annotation of a GenBank genome assembly. Lineage: Eukaryota; Viridiplantae; Streptophyta; Magnoliopsida; Fabales; Fabaceae.